CCUUAGACCUGAGAUCACCUCAGUGACUUGCAAGCAACUCACUGUGCUUUAGUACUGGACUAACUGAAUUUCUAAUUCAGUGAUGGAAGGCUUCUGGGCAUAGUCAAGUACUUGUGAAGUCAGAGUGUGAUCGAGAUGGGAUUGACCACUCCAAGAGUUGGAGAAGAAUGAGUCACUGUAUUUCAAUUUAGCAAAAUCUUGGCCAGGGUAAUCCAUCAGAUGGAUUUGAUAUUUUGAAAUAUAAUGUGGACAACC
This 255-nucleotide long non-coding RNA is filed under the name Elaeis guineensis (African oil palm). RNAcentral describes it as "long non-coding RNA (EGUI_LNC081509)". Lineage: Eukaryota; Viridiplantae; Streptophyta; Magnoliopsida; Arecales; Arecaceae. The record is from RNAcentral.